This 450-nucleotide ribosomal RNA is filed under the name uncultured bacterium. RNAcentral describes it as "partial 16S ribosomal RNA". It matches the Rfam family "Bacterial small subunit ribosomal RNA", at positions 354 to 796 of the family's 1533-position model. The record is from RNAcentral.
GUGGGGAAUUUUGGACAAUGGGGGCAACCCUGAUCCAGCAAUGCCGCGUGCAGGAAGAAGGCCUUCGGGUUGUAAACUGCUUUUGUACGGAACGAAACGGUCCUGGUUAAUACCUGGGGCUAAUGACGGUACCGUAAGAAUAAGCACCGGCUAACUACGUGCCAGCAGCCGCGGUAAUACGUAGGGUACAAGCGUUAAUCGGAAUUACUGGGCGUAAAGCGUGCGCAGGCGGUUUUGUAAGACAGGCGUGAAAUCCCCGGGCUCAACCUGGGAAUGGCGCUUGUGACUGCAAGGCUGGAGGGCGGCAGAGGGGGAUGGAAUUCCGCGUGUAGCAGUGAAAUGCGUAGAUAUGCGGAGGAACACCGAUGGCGAAGGCAAUCCCCUGGGCCUGCACUGACGCUCAUGCACGAAAGCGUGGGGAGCAAACAGGAUUAGAAACCCCGGUAGUCC